AAAAACCCUUUAGGAAAAGUGCAAUGGAAAAGUUUAAUCACCAUAAAAAUACAUACCUACUGGAAUGACAAAAUUAAUAAAGACUCUGAGAGAUACUCCAGCUUAAAAUACAUAUCUGGUGAAUAUAAGACAAAAAGAAUACAUCCAAUACUUACAACAAAUACAUCAAAUUGUAGAGACAUCAUCAAAUUACCCAUUAGGACCAGAUUUGCAACUGGCAAUUACAUCUUGCAGACAAAUAGAGCAAAAUUUAAUCAAAAUGAGGUAUCUGCCAUCUGCAGAGUCUGUGGCAAAGAGGAUGA
This 302-nucleotide long non-coding RNA is filed under the name Mytilus galloprovincialis (Mediterranean mussel). The record is from RNAcentral. Lineage: Eukaryota; Metazoa; Mollusca; Bivalvia; Mytilida; Mytilidae.